UACCCUUCGAUCAGUGCCGCCCUCAUCCUUCAUCAGAGAAGGUUAUUUUUCAGUGGACGGUUGUUGUCACAGAUACCCACAGCUUGACAGAGUGCAGAGGAUAAAUGACUGCAGCGGAUGACUCUAAGUGGAACAUCUACGUCAUUGCCACACACCCCAAAGCUCUAGGAACGUCACAGAAAGGUGGGCUGAAGUGGUGUAAGACAGAGACUGGGAGGCCUGCUCCAAAGCAGGGUCCUUUGAACAGGAGCCUGCCAAUGCACUCCUGAACUCAUUGCGUCUGCCACUACCGGAACAAGACUGGGCAAAUCAGCAUGUCUUCAUGAAGCAGAAGGGGCCGUGACGUCGCGCCCCUACCUAAGGGACUACUGAUAGUUAUUCAUAGCUGAGAUAAAUGGUGUCAUUUUCUUUAGUGUUGUAACCUCUGCAGAGCUGCUGAUGCACCGGUAAAUAACCUCACCCACAUGCUCAUUCAGGAAGCCUCCCUUCGAUUCAGCAUGUGACACAGAGAAAGCUACGAAAUGUUUAUUCCUGCCAAAGAAGAUGUAAAGUUCCCUUUCCCUCCCUGGUGCUGCUGAGGCCGCUGCUUCCACAAGGAAGAGUUGCCAGGUAGAGCACAGAUCCAGAUGGAAGAUUGGAACAUGAGACAAAUGUCACAGCAUCACAUGGCCACAGAAAGCACUGGAUGAAAUCUUGAAGAAAAUCAAGUGUUCAAAGGGAAAUCAUCCAAACAGACAGGAGGCACAAAAGCUAUGAAAAUACUGAAAAGGAAUAACAAGAAGCUAUGUGGCCUGUCAGAUAUUUAAAUGCAUUUCCUUGUUAUGAAAAUAAAGUCUGGAAUAAAUGCAAGAAGAGACAAGUUAUUUCCAUCUGGCUUUGUAUCUGUCACCUUUCACUCAUGUUUCUUGUGACAGGCUCUUGGAACUCCUAUUUACUUGAUGACUUGGAUAGCUUUCUAGAAGUGAUUCUCAUGGGAAACCUUGGAUAAUGAUGAUAGAGAAGGAGAACACCAUUAAAAUGGGAAAACUGUGGGACAAUUCCUGGAAGGUAAUUGACGCUACUAAGAACUAGAGAGUGGCACUCUCCUUUACAAAGUCUGCAAAAUGAAGACUAAAUUUCAAAAGUAUAUGUGCUGCCGAAGCAAGAACGAAUGAACUUUGGG
Mesocricetus auratus (golden hamster) is the source of this 1162-nucleotide long non-coding RNA. RefSeq lists it as uncharacterized. NCBI's taxonomy places the organism in Eukaryota, Metazoa, Chordata, Mammalia, Rodentia, Cricetidae. The record is from RefSeq and is a predicted model, not a curated record. The transcript has 6 exons.